AAAUUGAAGAGUUUGAUCAUGGCUCAGAUUGAACGCUGGCGGCAGGCCUAACACAUGCAAGUCGAGCGGAAACGAGUUAUCA
RNAcentral lists this ribosomal RNA (82 nucleotides) under Vibrio alginolyticus. Its description in RNAcentral is "partial 16S ribosomal RNA". It matches the Rfam family "Bacterial small subunit ribosomal RNA", at positions 1 to 82 of the family's 1533-position model. Lineage: Bacteria; Pseudomonadati; Pseudomonadota; Gammaproteobacteria; Vibrionales; Vibrionaceae. RNAcentral also lists the same sequence under 1 other name. The record is from RNAcentral.